GAUGAACGCUGGCGGCGUGCCUAAUACAUGCAAGUCGAGCGAACAGACGAGGAGCUUGCUCCUCUGACGUUAGCGGCGGACGGGUGAGUAACACGUGGAUAACCUACCUAUAAGACUGGGAUAACUUCGGGAAACCGGAGCUAAUACCGGAUAAUAUAUUGAACCGCAUGGUUCAAUAGUGAAAGACGGUUUUGCUGUCACUUAUAGAUGGAUCCGCGCCGCAUUAGCUAGUUGGUAAGGUAACGGCUUACCAAGGCAACGAUGCGUAGCCGACCUGAGAGGGUGAUCGGCCACACUGGAACUGAGACACGGUCCAGACACCUACGGGAGGCAGCAGUAGGGAAUCUUCCGCAAUGGGCGAAAGCCUGACGGAGCAACGCCGCGUGAGUGAUGAAGGUAUUAGGAUCGUAAAACUCUGUUAUUAGGGAAGAACAAAUGUGUAAGUAACUAUGCACGUCUUGACGGUACCUAAUCAGAAAGCAACGGCUAACUACGUG
RNAcentral lists this ribosomal RNA (497 nucleotides) under uncultured bacterium. Its description in RNAcentral is "partial 16S ribosomal RNA". It matches the Rfam family "Bacterial small subunit ribosomal RNA", at positions 28 to 507 of the family's 1533-position model. The record is from RNAcentral.